UCUGUGCAUCAUAUCUUAGCCUAGCCUACCUUAAACGUGCUCAGAACACUUACAUUAGGCCACAAUUGGGCAAAAUCAUUUAACAUAAAACCUAUUUUAUAAU
Molecule: non-coding RNA, 103 nt
Organism: Ceratotherium simum simum (southern white rhinoceros)
Lineage: Eukaryota; Metazoa; Chordata; Mammalia; Perissodactyla; Rhinocerotidae
Source: RefSeq, a predicted model, not a curated record